GGCGCCUGGGGGCCGGGUGGGGGCCGGGUGGGGGCCAGGUGGGGCCGGCUUCCCGCCACCGGCCCGCCGACCGACCAGCGGCGGUCGCAGGAGGCUCGGUGGCUGCAGCGGCGGGGGCCCGGCCGUGCGGCGUCAGCCGGGCCAGUGUGACAUCACGGCAGGGCCGGGUGUGCGCCGCCCCCGGGGCCUGAGCGGCACGGAGGCUGUGCCGCCGGGGAGCCCGCGGCGCAGGCCUGGACGCUCCUCUGCGGGCCCUGCGCUCUGACCGCGCGACCUGCGAGCUGCACGCGCGGGGGCCGGUCAUUUCUUCAGUCUGUCUCACUACACGGAGACCUUCUUUACGGCUCAUAUUUCGCCCUCUAGUAUCCUCCCUUCAUCUAUCCAACAAACUGCCCAUAGGCCUGCUCUGCACCAGACACUCUUCUCAACACUGGAUCAGAUGCAAGAUGAAUAAGGCGUGACAAGUGCCAUCUUGGAAAGAAGAGGUGAUCGGCCUGCCACCCUAGGCUGCCGUGGAGUCGAAGGCUUAGAAACCAAAACCAGGGCAAAUGCAAAGCUGAGAAGUGAAGCACCCAGCUGCAUCAGGGACCAGCCCAGGAUAAUCUGGGGAGUGAGUGCUCUCCAUUUCUUCACAAAGGCCCCUCCUUUAUAUUGGGAGCAGGCCUUGUCUCCUCGCCUCCCCCGUGCCAAAGCUGGGGUUGGUUGCUGGGCUGAGGAGUGCGACUGCAGGUAGGAAUGUGACCCAUCUGCUCUCAGGUCUAAGUCCUGCUAGUCUUUGUUUUCUUUUUGCGUCCAAAGAGGACAUUCUGGGGACCGGGGCCCAGCAGAAAGGACAGCCUUGGUGGAAUAGGAGCUCGGGUAAAAACAAAAGUCAAAUACCAGUAGUGAAAAGAAAGGGAAGGCGGAACAACAGAGACAUGGUGGUCACCAACAUGUGAAGCCACUAAAUGCCACCGAGUUGUACACUUUACAAUGGUCAAUUGUACGUCAUGUGAAUUUCCACCCGAGUUUAAAAGAAAAAGGAAGAUUUGUAGGAAUGAAAGAUAAUGGGCAAGAGAUUUUUACCCCUAAUUUCUCCUAAUUUUUAAGGGUCAGCCCAGAGAUUACUCUGGGGGAAGGGCGAGUGCCUAGAUGCUCAUACAACCAUGUUUAAUUCCCCCGCACAUGUGUCUAAUUCCUUCCUCGUCCAGGCAUCACCCAGACGGAACCAUCUUCCUCUCCAGUUCUUCACACACUGGCCCUCUCACUUAGAAUACAGCUGAGUGAUGGGGCUCUUCUCUCCCUUGCCCUGGGUCCUCACUGUUUCUCAUGCCUCUGCCGUUCUGUAACUUCUCAACUUUCUGACCAAUUGUUAUACAAGCUCCUGGCACUUGCAUUGCAUAUGCCUUAACCUCUCAUGGAUUCUAAGCCAAACCAAAGCCCAAACAAAUGCUCUGGGACGGCACACAGACCCGAGGGAAGAGGGCAAUGAAUCAGGACGGGAACUCAAAAUUUCAUAACUGAGUAUUAUUUGUGCUAAGUCACUUUGCACUUCAGAAAUCAAAAAGGGCCAGUGUUGGAUUCUUUAUCUGACACAAUUCCUGAUAUGUGAUUGGUACUAAUAACUAUUUUGCUGAGUAAAUUACAGUUCAUUCACAGUGUGCAAAGCAUAGUCCUGCAGUCCACAAGG
This is a long non-coding RNA of Artibeus jamaicensis (Jamaican fruit-eating bat), 1669 nucleotides long. RefSeq lists it as uncharacterized. The transcript has 3 exons. NCBI's taxonomy places the organism in Eukaryota, Metazoa, Chordata, Mammalia, Chiroptera, Phyllostomidae. The record is from RefSeq and is a predicted model, not a curated record.